This is a long non-coding RNA of Sorghum bicolor (sorghum), 381 nucleotides long. RefSeq lists it as uncharacterized. The transcript has 2 exons. Lineage: Eukaryota; Viridiplantae; Streptophyta; Magnoliopsida; Poales; Poaceae. The record is from RefSeq and is a predicted model, not a curated record.
CCUUCGCGAGGCCGCGUCGGGGCGAGGGCGGACGCCGGGCGAGGCCGCGUCGGACGAGCAGGGGUGGACGGGCGCCGGCGCGCGGACCGCAAGGCCGCCGGCAAGCUCUCCGCGAGGCUGCAGGCGAGGGCGGGCAGCAGGCGCGCGGGUGUGGGCGGGUUGCUGGCGCCGGCGGGAGCAAGUUCAUGAUAUAGCUGAGAAGUUGUGCUGGUAUCACUACAAAGGGACAAUUCAGGAAGCGGAUCACUGAACUUUCAAUGAAGCUUUAGCUGGAUGGAGUUAUGCUUGGCAUGUUGAGUCUAUUUUUUCAUUAGCACCAUUCUCAACAAAAAAAAUGAUGUAUAAAUUAUGUCUAGUUUCCUAAUUUGUUUGGAGCUGUAA